RNAcentral lists this ribosomal RNA (279 nucleotides) under uncultured bacterium. Its description in RNAcentral is "partial 16S ribosomal RNA". It matches the Rfam family "Bacterial small subunit ribosomal RNA", at positions 506 to 784 of the family's 1533-position model. The record is from RNAcentral.
UGCCAGCAGCCGCGGUAAUACGUAGGUGACAAGCGUUAUCCGGAAUUACUGGGCGUAAAGCGCACGCAAGCGGUCUGUCAAGUCGGAUGUGAAAUCUCGGAGCUUAACUUCGAAACUGCAUUCGAUACUGCCGUGCUUGAGGACUGGAGAGGAGACUGGAAUUUACGGUGUAGCGGUGAAAUGCGUAGAUAUCGUAAGGAAGACCAGUGGCGAAGGCGGGUCUCUGGACAGUUCCUGACGCUGAGGCACGAAGGCCAGGGGAGCAAACCGGAUUAGAUA